This 890-nucleotide ribosomal RNA is filed under the name bacterium UASWS0087. RNAcentral describes it as "bacterial SSU rRNA". It matches the Rfam family "Bacterial small subunit ribosomal RNA", at positions 31 to 911 of the family's 1533-position model. The record is from RNAcentral.
GUACGCUGGCGGCAGGCUUAACACAUGUCAAGUCGAGACGGGGGUAGGUUGCUUCGGUAACUGACCUAGCGGCGGACGGGUGAGUAAUGCUUAGGAAUCUGCCUAUUAGUGGGGGACAACAUUCCGAAAGGGAUGCUAAUACCGCAUACGCCCUACGGGGGAAAGCAGGGGAUCUUCGGACCUUGCGCUAAUAGAUGAGCCUAAGUCGGAUUAGCUAGUUGGUGGGGUAAAGGCCUACCAAGGCGACGAUCUGUAGCGGGUCUGAGAGGAUGAUCCGCCACACUGGGACUGAAACGCGGCCCAGACUCCUACGGGAGGCAGCAGUGGGGAAUAUUGGACAAUGGGCGGAAGCCUGAUCCAGCCAUGCCCCGUGUGUGAAGAAGGCCUUUUGGUUGUAAAGCACUUUAAACCGAGGAGGAGGCUCCUUUAGUUAAUACCUAAAGAGAGUGGACGUUACUCGCAGAAUAAGCACCGGCUAACUCUGUGCCAGCAGCCGCGGUAAUACAGAGGGUGCGAGCGUUAAUCGGAUUUACUGGGCGUAAAGCGUGCGUAGGCGGCUUUUUAAGUCGGAUGUGAAAUCCCUGAGCUUAACUUAGGAAUUGCAUUCGAUACUGGAAAGCUAGAGUAUGGGAGAGGAUGGUAGAAUUCCAGGUGUAGCGGUGAAAUGCGUAGAGAUCUGGAGGAAUACCGAUGGCGAAGGCAGCCAUCUGGCCUAAUACUGACGCUGAGGUACGAAAGCAUGGGGAGCAAACAGGAUUAGAUACCCUGGUAGUCCAUGCCGUAAACGAUGUCUACUAGCCGUUGGGGCCUUUGAGGCUUUAGUGGCGCAGCUAACGCGAUAAGUAGACCGCCUGGGGAGUACGGUCGCAAGACUAAAACUCAAAUGAAUU